Molecule: long non-coding RNA, 357 nt
Organism: Bufo gargarizans (Asiatic toad)
Lineage: Eukaryota; Metazoa; Chordata; Amphibia; Anura; Bufonidae
Exons: 4
Source: RefSeq, a predicted model, not a curated record
AAUUUGAAGAUAUCAGCGCAAGCACCCACAGCAUCUGGGUUAACCCAUUCUUCACAUAGAAAGGAUAACUCAGAAUUGAACCAAGAAAAUUUUGGGAUGAUGUCAGAAAAUACGAGUACAACACCAUCAAAUAACGCAUUUUCAACUAGAAUGCAACCUGGACCCACAAAUUCAGGUUCUCAAACUGGCAGUUAAAGUGAUCUCCAAUCAAAUUUGAAGAUAUCAGCGCAAGCACCCACAGCAUCUGGGUUAACCCAUUCUUCACAUAGGUAAGUAAAUAAUAUAAUCAACAUAUUAACUGUAAUGUUAGGUGCCAUGUCAUCAUGGCUCACCACACUGAAUUUAUCAGUAUGGUUC